UGGGGAAUAUUGCACAAUGGGGGAAACCCUGAUGCAGCGACGCCGCGUGAAGGAUGAAGUAUUUCGGUAUGUAAACUUCUAUCAGCAGGGAAGAAAAUGACGGUACCUGACUAAGAAGCCCCGGCUAACUACGUGCCAGCAGCCGCGGUAAUACGUAGGGGGCAAGCGUUAUCCGGAUUUACUGGGUGUAAAGGGAGCGUAGACGGUUGUGUAAGUCAGAUGUGAAAGCCCGGGGCUCAACCCCGGGACUGCAUUUGAAACUGCGCGACUAGAGUGUUGGAGAGGUAAGUGGAAUUCCUAGUGUAGCGGUGAAAUGCGUAGAUAUUAGGAGGAACACCAGUGGCGAAGGC
This 350-nucleotide ribosomal RNA is filed under the name uncultured bacterium. Its description in RNAcentral is "bacterial SSU rRNA". It matches the Rfam family "Bacterial small subunit ribosomal RNA", at positions 355 to 722 of the family's 1533-position model. The record is from RNAcentral.